CAGUAGGGAAUCUUCCACAAUGGACGAAAGUCUGAUGGAGCAACGCCGCGUGAGUGAAGAAGGGUUUCGGCUCGUAAAACUCUGUUGUUAAAGAAGAACAUAUCUGAGAGUAACUGUUCAGGUAUUGACGGUAUUUAACCAGAAAGCCACGGCUAACUACGUGCCAG
RNAcentral lists this ribosomal RNA (167 nucleotides) under uncultured bacterium. RNAcentral's name for it is "partial 16S ribosomal RNA". It matches the Rfam family "Bacterial small subunit ribosomal RNA", at positions 352 to 511 of the family's 1533-position model. The record is from RNAcentral.